This 497-nucleotide ribosomal RNA is filed under the name uncultured bacterium. Its description in RNAcentral is "partial 16S ribosomal RNA". It matches the Rfam family "Bacterial small subunit ribosomal RNA", at positions 28 to 507 of the family's 1533-position model. The record is from RNAcentral.
GAUGAACGCUGGCGGCGUGCCUAAUACAUGCAAGUCGAGCGAACAGACGAGGAGCUUGCUCCUCUGACGUUAGCGGCGGACGGGUGAGUAACACGUGGAUAACCUACCUAUAAGACUGGGAUAACUUCGGGAAACCGGAGCUAAUACCGGAUAAUAUAUUGAACCGCAUGGUUCAAUAGUGAAAGACGGUUUUGCUGUCACUUAUAGAUGGAUCCGCGCCGCAUUAGCUAGUUGGUAAGGUAACGGCUUACCAAGGCGACGAUGCGUAGCCGACCUGAGAGGGUGAUCGGCCACACUGGAACUGAGACACGGUCCAGACUCCUACGGGAGGCAGCAGUAGGGAAUCUUCCGCAAUGGGCGAGAGCCUGACGGAGCAACGCCGCGUGAGUGAUGAAGGUCUUCGGAUCGUAAAGCUCUGUUAUUAGGGAAGAACAAAGGUUUGAGUAACUAUGCACGUCUUGACGGUACCUAAUCAGAAAGCCACGGCUAACUACGUG